UGAUCCCUGCGCGUGAUUGAGGCCAACUGUGAAAUCGUCACCGAAAUCCUGCGGCGAAGGGUACAGAGAGCGCGCAAGAAAGUAGAGAGCUUCGUGUUUUAGCACCAUUGCAGGUAGUGUCAAACUAAAGCCCAUGGGAGAACUUCCUCAGACCCAGGAACCACUGAAAUCAUUACAAGAAUUGUCUGCAUCUCUGGAACUCUGAUGCUUUCCCCGAUCUACCAUGCCUCUUAUAAAAUGC
Long non-coding RNA from Acinonyx jubatus (cheetah), 241 nucleotides. RefSeq lists it as uncharacterized. The transcript is spliced from 3 exons. The record is from RefSeq and is a predicted model, not a curated record. NCBI's taxonomy places the organism in Eukaryota, Metazoa, Chordata, Mammalia, Carnivora, Felidae.